UGGGAUGAAAUGUUGCUUUAGCUGAUGGGGAACAGUGCUGUUUUAGUGGGGGAAUUACUGCUGAAUGUGCUCUUGCCCAGUUAAGCUUUGUGGCAGGUAAUUUAGGCUUUUGAAAAACAUAACGUGGGAAGCGAGAGAGGUACGUAGUUGUUACUUGAGGCUAGGUUUUCGAAGUGGGACAUAGCGUGUUCCGAACAGACCGACGUUUGGCACCACUGACUGCUGUCUAGAGCAGUGCUUCGCAAAAGUUUGGCACAAUUACCGGUGCUGGUCCUUGAAGAAACAAAUAUGGAAAUUGAAAGCGUUUAAAACCUUUUGAAAGCAAUAUAACAAUAAUUUUAUACCUGUUAAAUGUAAUAAAUUGGGGCCUGCAUUUUGUAUGUUUCUUUUAUUCCAUAUUUCUCUAAGGAUUCAUUUUUAUUGUUUUAUGAAACUACCAGUCUGUGACAUGGAAGGUAGAGGAAAAAGAUUCUUGACCCUAGUUGCUUGUGAAACCUGGGAUUCUACAAGUGACAGUUGUCUGUUUACUCUUGAAGUUCAAGUGUUACUUUGUUACAUGGUUAAUUCAUGUCAAAAGUAUCAUAGGCUAAGACAUCAAAGUUUUAAUAACAUUCUUUUUUCUUUAAGGGGUUUGUUAAAGUUGUUAAGAAUAAGGCCUACUUUAAGAGAUACCAAGUGAAAUUUAGAAGACGACGAGGUACUGUCACCUUUUUGUGUUUACAAUAUUAAUCUGCUUUGCAGAUGCAGUGGAGUGUCCUUUCUACAAUUAUUUUUUUCUUUCAGAGGGUAAAACUGAUUAUUAUGCUCGGAAACGCUUGGUGAUACAAGAUAAAAAUAAAUACAACACACCCAAAUACAGGAUGAUAGUUCGUGUAACAAACAGAGAUAUCAUUUGUCAGAUUGCUUAUGCCCGUAUAGAGGGGGAUAUGAUAGUCUGCGCAGCGUAUGCACACGAACUGCCAAAAUAUGGUGUGAAGGUUGGCCUGACAAAUUAUGCUGCAGCAUAUUGUACUGGCCUGCUGCUGGCCCGCAGGCUUCUCAAUAGGUUUGGCAUGGACAAGAUCUAUGAAGGCCAAGUGGAGGUGACUGGUGAUGAAUACAAUGUGGAAAGCAUUG
RNAcentral lists this small RNA (1116 nucleotides) under Pan troglodytes (chimpanzee). RNAcentral describes it as "retained intron". The record is from RNAcentral. Lineage: Eukaryota; Metazoa; Chordata; Mammalia; Primates; Hominidae.